GUCGAAGUUUUUCGUUGUCUCCUUCGUACAGUCUGCGAAUUAUAACGAGAUUUGAUCAGUAUGACGCGCUUGCUGGAUAUAUAAACUUGUUUGCGUUCUAGUUUCGAGUUGGCUAUAUAAGUAAUCGGAUUAUUCACCGACUAUUAAUUUACUCACCAUUCAAUAAAUCGAUCACAUUGGGAUUCAAAUUAGACACUCUAUCUCCUAUUAUCGCUAUAAAAUUGGACAUUUUUGCGGAUAACUUUUCUAUGUCGGUGUAAAGUCCAACAAGAAAUUCGAGUCUUUGAGGAUUUUCCAAUUCCGAGCUAUGACUGGUUUCAUUGACCGUUACGACAGGCCAGGCCUGAAAUGGUUGUUAGAAAUAUACUAUAAAACUUGGUCGCGCAAAACAAUUUUCAGAAACUGCAAUAAUUACCUGUUUCAAAGACGUCCGACACCAUCCCUGGUAUCUCGAGCACAGUUGAAGGCACAAUUUCCAAAAUCUGAAAUUAUAUAGAGUACGUGUUUAUAAACAUGCUGAAUUGCAAGCUUUGCAAGUGAGAGAUGAUUGCUAGUAUUACCUAUGAAGAAGCUGAGGAAGGUAAACAUCGUCUGCCCAUAUCCUCUGGAGACAGUCCCAGACAAUACACGUGGCAUGCAGGGUAAAACUGUCUGGACGCAUGGAACUCUUGUUCUUACGUAUUGAAACUGAAGAUACAUUACCGGCUAGUAUGCUUUCAGCAGUGCCCGCAAUUUCUUGAAAUCUUAUUUGGUAAUAGACUGGUAGAUUCCAUUUAUUUAGAAACCUGUUAUACUGUGGAUGGCUUUUCAAGCGAUCGACAUUCUCAGCUGUGCAGCAUCUCUUUUCCAAGCACAGAAGGUAAUCUAGGGUUUGUACAUAUCUCUGAAGGUGCAAAUAUUAUUGGCAAAUAGUCUUCUAUUCUCUGUUCUACUUCUGGCCAAUAGCUAUUGACUAUAAAGUUAAAGCCUUUUACAGAUAUUCUGAAAGAAUGAAGAUGCAUGAAUGAUAUUAUUUUCAAAGCAAUCAAUAAUGCUACAAUAAUGUAUUACCUGUCUGGAUUUAAUGUCAAGUCUAAUAGUUCUUUUAAAGUACUAUCUAAGACAUUCUCUAAUUUUUGGUAAGUUCCUUUCAAUCCUUGUGAAUCAUUUUGAAGACUGUAUUCACUGAUAAUAUGUUCAACAGCAGGCACUACGAUCUUUUUUCUGACUACGUCCUCUGCAUCCGUUACCUUGUCGAGACUUACAUAUAUUCUUAAACAUCGAAUUAAAGACGCAGAUUCUUUUUGGGUUAUGUAGGCAACUAGAAGUGCACUUAAACUGGCUUUCAGGCGGUCAUCCAUUUCGCUCAUUUUCUAAAUAAUAAAAAUACAGUUUUUAAUGCAUUCACUUUGUAUCUAUAGUGUAAAAUUAAACAAAAUGCAAAUCUACUAUUACUCACAUUUGUUUGCUCUGUUGACAGGUCAGAUUUACAGCGGCUCAAGUGAAAUUUCAAUUGAUUAAAUUCUGUUGCAGCUCGCUCUAAGAUAUCCGGUUUUAGAGGAACCUUCAACGUAUCACAGGAACAAAGGAUAUUGCAUAGUUUGGUUAUUGAUUUGUGGAACCUAAUUAAACUAUGUAUACUCUGCUUUUUUUCUCUGAUAUUUUUAUGCUUAUCCAAAUUAUUGGUCAUCUCUGUUAUCGUGUCAUCCAAAGAUUGUCUGACUUGCUGCAAAUAAUGAAUAUGUGUAAAUAAAGAGAAAUAACCAA
This is a long non-coding RNA of Nasonia vitripennis (jewel wasp), 1746 nucleotides long. RefSeq lists it as uncharacterized. The transcript is spliced from 3 exons. NCBI's taxonomy places the organism in Eukaryota, Metazoa, Arthropoda, Insecta, Hymenoptera, Pteromalidae. The record is from RefSeq and is a predicted model, not a curated record.